Molecule: ribosomal RNA, 1137 nt
Filed under: Flavobacterium sp.
Lineage: Bacteria; Pseudomonadati; Bacteroidota; Flavobacteriia; Flavobacteriales; Flavobacteriaceae
Description: bacterial SSU rRNA
Rfam family: Bacterial small subunit ribosomal RNA
Source: RNAcentral
GGUAUAGGUUUUCGGACCUAGAGACCGGCGCACGGGUGCGUAACGCGUAUGCAAUCUACCUUUUACAGCGGGAUAGCCCAGAGAAAUUUGGAUUAAUAUCGCAUAGUAUAGCAGUUUCGCAUGAAACCACUAUUAAAGUCACAACGGUAAAAGAUGAGCAUGCGUCCCAUUAGUUAGUUGGUAAGGUAACGGCUUACCAAGACUACGAUGGGUAGGGGUCCUGAGAGGGAGAUCCCCCACACUGGUACUGAGACACGGACCAGACUCCUACGGGAGGCAGCAGUGAGGAAUAUUGGACAAUGGGCGCAAGCCUGAUCCAGCCAUGCCGCGUGCAGGAUGACGGUCCUAUGGAUUGUAAACUGCUUUUAUACGAGAAGAAACACUACUUCGUGAAGUAGCUUGACGGUAUCGUAAGAAUAAGGAUCGGCUAACUCCGUGCCAGCAGCCGCGGUAAUACGGAGGAUCCAAGCGUUAUCCGGAAUCAUUGGGUUUAAAGGGUCCGUAGGCGGUUUAGUAAGUCAGUGGUGAAAGCCCAUCGCUCAACGGUGGAACGGCCAUUGAUACUGCUAGACUUGAAUUAUUAGGAAGUAACUAGAAUAUGUAGUGUAGCGGUGAAAUGCUUAGAGAUUACAUGGAAUACCAAUUGCGAAGGCAGGUUACUACUAAUGGAUUGACGCUGAUGGACGAAAGCGUGGGUAGCGAACAGGAUUAGAUACCCUGGUAGUCCACGCCGUAAACGAUGGAUACUAGCUGUUGGGCGCAAGUUCAGUGGCUAAGCGAAAGUGAUAAGUAUCCCACCUGGGGAGUACGUUCGCAAGAAUGAAACUCAAAGGAAUUGACGGGGGCCCGCACAAGCGGUGGAGCAUGUGGUUUAAUUCGAUGAUACGCGAGGAACCUUACCAAGGCUUAAAUGUAGAUUGACCGGUUUGGAAACAGACUUUUCGCAAGACAAUUUACAAGGUGCUGCAUGGUUGUCGUCAGCUCGUGCCGUGAGGUGUCAGGUUAAGUCCUAUAACGAGCGCAACCCCUGUUGUUAGUUGCCAGCGAGUCAUGUCGGGAACUCUAACAAGACUGCCAGUGCAAACUGUGAGGAAGGUGGGGAUGACGUCAAAUCAUCACGGCCCUUACGCCUUGGGC